ACGGGUGAGGAACGCGUGGGAAUCUGCCCAAAAGAGGGGGACAACUAGAGGAAACUCUAGCUAAUACCGCAUAAUCUCUUUGGAGCAAAGGCUGGGUAGCAAUACCUGGCGCUUUUGGAGGAGCCCGCGUCCGAUUAGCUAGUUGGUUAGGUAAAAGCUGACCAAGGCGAUGAUCGGUAGCUGGUCUGAGAGGACGAUCAGCCACACUGGGACUGAGACACGGCCCAGACUCCUACGGGAGGCAGCAGUGGGGAAUAUUGGACAAUGGGGGCAACCCUGAUCCAGCAAUACCGCGUGUGUGAAGAAGGCCUUCGGGUUGUAAAGCACUUUAGAAUGGGAAGAAGGUAUGUAGUUUAAGAGAUAGCAUAUUUGACUGUACCAUUAGAAUAAGCACCGGCUAACUCUGUGCCAGCAGCCGCGGUAAUACAGAGGGUGCAAGCGUUAAUCGGAGUUACUGGGCGUAAAGGGCGCGUAGGUGGUUAUGUAAGUGAGAUGUGAAAUCCCUGGGCUUAACCUAGGAACUGCAUCUUAUACUGCAUAGCUGGAGUAUUGUAGAGGGUAGUGGAAUUUCCGGU
This 575-nucleotide ribosomal RNA is filed under the name uncultured bacterium. RNAcentral's name for it is "bacterial SSU rRNA". It matches the Rfam family "Bacterial small subunit ribosomal RNA", at positions 102 to 674 of the family's 1533-position model. The record is from RNAcentral.